RNAcentral lists this non-coding RNA (24 nucleotides) under Arabidopsis thaliana (thale cress). Lineage: Eukaryota; Viridiplantae; Streptophyta; Magnoliopsida; Brassicales; Brassicaceae. The record is from RNAcentral.
AUGUGACCCGAAUGCACUUUUACC